Long non-coding RNA from Motacilla alba alba, 3270 nucleotides. RefSeq lists it as uncharacterized. The transcript has 2 exons. Lineage: Eukaryota; Metazoa; Chordata; Aves; Passeriformes; Motacillidae. The record is from RefSeq and is a predicted model, not a curated record.
GCAGGCGCUGAUUCUGCUCCGCACAGCGCGGUGCGCUCCGCAGGCGCCGCGCCACCGGGACCGCCCGCUCGGAGCCGGGGCUGGGCUCGCAGCUGCCCCGGGCACGGGCUCAAGGACAGGGGCCACCUCUGACAUGACAGAGAACUAUUUCAAGUUCCAAGCAGCAGCCACCACGGUGACCUUCCUUCGUCCCUUCAGCCUUUGCCUUCGCCGCUAGUUUCUGCAUUUCCCUCCCAUCUGCCCUUCUCAUCACGGCUGUGCCUCCAGCGCUAUCCCCGGGGACAGCCUGGUUCGAGGACAGCAAGAGCUCUGGAUCACAGGGUAGGGCUGCAAAACAGUACUUUCCUCUUGGCCGUGUUUCUUAUGCAAGUCUGCAUAUAAUCAGAUCGACGCCAAGCCUUCCUGUACUCUUUCACUAUGUCUGUGACUCAUUAACUUUAGUUCUCUUAGAUUAGUUGAGUAGGAUUUUAAGACCAUGACACUGGGAUAAAUUUUAUCUUCUGAAUGUCCUUGAUAAAUGGAUUUGAAUUAAUUGCUAUUAACAUUACUGUGAAAUUUGGCCAGGUUGGUAAACUUCCUAGAUUGAACAUGAUUUCUCCCUUCCCUCACUCUCCUGUGUUGAAAGUUAGCAGUUAACAUUUGAGAGGAGAAAUCUUGUAAUUUAUUGUUUCUUAUACUUCUGACCAGAGCUGCACUUUAGUUUUCUACAGUCUCUCUCAUUAAUGUGAGAUCAGCACACUACAGGGGACAUAUACAAUCAUAAAUACAGCUCUUUCUGUAAGGAAUUAAGGUUCUGUUUUGCCUAGAGCAUUGUCAAAGCUGGAAAUUCUCCAUGCCAGAACACUUAGACUUUCUUAAACCUAACAUCAAAACAGUCAUUCAUCUCUUUGUUUGCUCAAAUAAUGCUCAAACUUGUUCAAAGAUAGAAGAAACAGAACAAGAAUUCAGCGUAAAUCAUAGAACAGCGCUCAUACUGCGAUGAAAGGGAAUUCCAGUUUGGCAGAGGACAGAACCUGCAGCCUAAGGUGGACUGGUACAGAAAAUUCUCAACUAUUCCACACAGAGUUCAUUGAAUGCUACCACCUUGUGUCCCAAAACCACUCCACUGCGCACAAACCCAGUGCUGAUUGCAUCUAUGCUACUCCCAGUGAAAACCAGGGCCCAUGUUCUUAUCUUAGGCCAAAUUGGGACAAUGACUGUAAAAGGAGUAAGAAAUGUAUUUUCAAGUCCUGAGUCUGGUGACACAAACUAUCAGACAAUCUUUUAUCAAUGAAGAAAAUAUUCUUCAAAUCAGCUAUUCCCAUGUAUUGACUUAGGUAGGCUGAUGUACUGCUUACACAUUAUAUACAUAUCUAUUUAUAUGUAUAACAUAUAAUUAUAUAUAUUACAUUGUAAUAUGUACAUAGAAAUUGUAUACAAUUUAUUACUCUAUUUACAUUUAUUUUACUGUAUUUCCAUAUAUACGCUUACUAUAUUUUUAUAGAGAUCUAUAUAAUAUAUAUAAAAUAUAUAAUAUAGAAUAUAUUAUAUGGAAUAUAUUAUAUACACACACAUGUAUAGGUACAAUAAAUUUAGCCCUUGUGUCAUAAUGGAAAGGCAGUGUGUUAUUUUGGGAGUCACCUCCAUAUGGAAUUGCAACUGGUUCUGGCUUCCAAGGGAAUGGAGACUGAUAAGAAAUGAGGAAUUUACACAACAUUUUUUACAAACAACUGGACUCAGAUUUUAGUAUAACCUGAGAAAUAACAAUUGUGUUUUUCAAUGUUUCACUUAAACAUCUUUAUGAUUCAACUAGCACCUUUAUAACUGCUAUGAAAUAAUAAUUUUGAAGAUAAAAAAUUCCAGACUAUUAGCUGGAAAAAAUAAAGCAUACAUACCAAAAGGCAAUUUUUAUGAACAUCUUAAUUUAAUAUUUGGAAGUUUCUCAAGGCACCACUUUAGGGAAUAUUAUUUUUGAGCCAGCUGAAUAUUCUUUUCUGCUUGCAAGAUGUUUUCUAUCAGUUUGACACUUAAAUGAAAAAUGCCUAGACACCUUUGGAAGCCAGUAAGACAAUAAAUGUUACAAGAGUUUUGAAAAUACAUUUUUAACUGCCAAGUUUUUACCCCAUUCCAAGUGUAGUAUUUGAAGCAAUUUGGAAGCAACAUUAUUAGAGUCACCUUAAUGUACUUUUGGAAUCAACACUAUUGCUCUUCCUGUGAAGGAAGCAGAAUCUGUCUGCACUGGAGUUUAUACAUAUGCAGGUAUAGUAAUUUGACUGCUUUACUUAUAGUAACACAGUUUAAUGUCUGUAUAAAUAUAUACAGGGCUUGAGGCUACAUGCACUUAAUAAAUACAUAUAUGCACUUGAAAAAUUGCUUGGGGAAAUACACCAGAAAGGUUAAUAAAGUACAAUUUCUUUCAAUUUAUCAAAUGUAAAUUGGCUUUACGUAUAUUCAAAGAUUAAGUUUUUCUCAUAGUGAGUUAAAAGAGAUAAGUGGUCUAAUUAUAUCUAUCAUCAGUGAUGCAAGAUCCCAGCAAGAUGACACUAUUAUGAUACCAUAAAUAAUUUUUUAAUGUAGAGAAUCACACUCCACCAUAUUAAUAAUUUUGAUUUUGGUACUUUGAUGAUUUUUCCUAAGUAUUAAAAAGCAGCUGUUCUCUGUACAUUUUCAGUUAGCUUAAAAGUGUGACAUCCAGUGAAAGAUUACCUUAAUCUUUUUCCUUGGAAGAGAAGCUGACAGUCUUUCCAGUCCCACUGGUGAGCACUUGAUUCAGACUGUUAGGAACAGGACAGGAAGUUUGUGGGGGAAAAAAAGUCCUCUCAUUUUAGAUAAGUAUCCCACGGUUAUUUUUACUUUUAACACAAUCUAUUUUUAAAUAUGCUUCUUGUUUCUUCUGCUGUCCUCAGAAAUUCCAUGUGUCCUUUUAGGCACUAGUACUUUGCCUAUAAAGAAAUUCUGUCUCCUGCCUUCACUCAGAACAAAUUUUGUGUUUCUCGACUGCUGCUGUAACAUUUCAGAAUUCUCUUCAAACUCCUUCUCUCUUGUUAAGAAACUCCAUGCGUUAUGAUCUUUAUUUACACUUUAAAUGUAAAUUUAAAUCUUGUAUUUAAAAACUAAAAAACAUAUUUUGAUUGCAAAUGUAAUGCCAUUAGUGACUAUAUAUGCCAACCAAUGACAACAAAUUUCAGAUUAUUAAAUUUAAUUCCACUCAAAUCAAUCAAUUUCACUGUUUCACUGCGCAGCUUUCACUGGGAAAGACCCUUUCAAAUAAAAGCCAUAUUCUAGUCUGAA